RNAcentral lists this ribosomal RNA (496 nucleotides) under uncultured bacterium. RNAcentral describes it as "partial 16S ribosomal RNA". It matches the Rfam family "Bacterial small subunit ribosomal RNA", at positions 28 to 506 of the family's 1533-position model. The record is from RNAcentral.
GAUGAACGCUGGCGGCGUGCCUAAUACAUGCAAGUCGAGCGAACAGACGAGGAGCUUGCUCCUCUGAUGUUAGCGGCGGACGGGUGAGUAACACGUGGAUAACCUACCUAUAAGACUGGGAUAACUUCGGGAAACCGGAGCUAAUACCGGAUAACAUGUUGAACCGCAUGGUUCAACAGUGAAAGACGAUCUUGCUGUCACUUAUAGAUGGAUCCGCGCCGCAUUAGCUAGUUGGUAAGGUAACGGCUUACCAAGGCAACGAUGCGUAGCCGACCUGAGAGGGUGAUCGGCCACACUGGAACUGAGACACGGUCCAGACUCCGACGGGAGGCAGCAGUAGGGAAUCUGCCGCAAUGGGCGAAAGCCUGACGGAGCAACGCCGCGUGAGUGAAGAAGGUCUUCGGAUCGUAAAACUCUGUUAUUAGGGAAGAACAAAUGUGUAAGUAACUAUGCACGUCUUGACGGUACCUAAGCAGAAAGCCACGGCUAACUACGG